RNAcentral lists this unclassified non-coding RNA (449 nucleotides) under uncultured fungus. RNAcentral's name for it is "partial contains small subunit ribosomal RNA, internal transcribed spacer 1, and 5.8S ribosomal RNA". The stretch from base 1 to 73 matches the Rfam family "Eukaryotic small subunit ribosomal RNA", at positions 1759 to 1831 of the family's 1831-position model. The record is from RNAcentral. Lineage: Eukaryota; Fungi.
GCAAACUUGGUCAUUUAGAGGAAGUAAAAGUCGUAACAAGGUUUCCGUAGGUGAACCUGCGGAAGGAUCAUUAACAAAUCCGUGUGGGGUGUUAUGGCCCCGACACUCGUUCCGCGUCCACAUGUUGGAUGCGUCACAUUUAUUUAUCUAUGCUGACUGAUCGCGCAAACACAACAACUUUUAACAAUGGAUCUCUAGGCUCCUUCAGAUGUGUAUAAGAGACAGGCAAACUUGGUCAUUUAGAGGAAGUAAAAGUCGUAACAAGGUUUCCGUAGGUGAACCUGCGGAAGGAUCAUUAACAAAUCCGUGUGGGGUGUUAUGGCCCCGACACUCGUUCCGCGUCCACAUGUUGGAUGCGUCACAUUUAUUUAUCUAUGCUGACUGAUCGCGCAAACACAACAACUUUUAACAAUGGAUCUCUAGGCUCCUGCAUCGAUGAAGAACGCAGC